UACAGAGGUCCCAAGCGUUGUUCGGAUUCAUUGGGCGUAAAGGGGGCGUAGGCGGCGCGGUAAGUCGGGUGUGAAAUCUCGGAGCUUAACUCCGAAACUGCAUUCGAUACUGCCGUGCUUGAGGACUGGAGAGGAGACUGGAAUUUACGGUGUAGCGGUGAAAUGCGUAGAUAUCGUAAGGAAGACCAGUGGCGAAGGCGGGUCUCUGGACAGUUCCUGACGCUGAGGAGCGAAAGCGUGGGGAGCGAACAGG
This 253-nucleotide ribosomal RNA is filed under the name uncultured bacterium. Its description in RNAcentral is "partial 16S ribosomal RNA". It matches the Rfam family "Bacterial small subunit ribosomal RNA", at positions 524 to 776 of the family's 1533-position model. The record is from RNAcentral.